Long non-coding RNA from Biomphalaria glabrata, 5461 nucleotides. RefSeq lists it as uncharacterized. NCBI's taxonomy places the organism in Eukaryota, Metazoa, Mollusca, Gastropoda, Planorbidae. The transcript has 2 exons. The record is from RefSeq and is a predicted model, not a curated record.
UAGACCCGAUCUCUAUAACUGACUCCUAAAAUCUAUCUUAGCCAUCUUUGUUGAGCCACAUUUAGUGUUUUUCAAUUUCGGCAGAUGACUAUUCACUGCACUUUAUUAAUGGAGCCCAGCCACUGGUAGAAAUUUGUAACCUCUCUUGGCUACGCUCUUGGAAUUAGGUGACUGUAGUUUGCUUUAGAUUUUAUAUAGAAAAGGUAAGUUUUAUCGUCAAAUUCACCUGUUGAAGGUUUUAAACUAAAAAAUCUCUGGAGUUUUUUUUAAACAAAUUCAAAACCUCCUUAGCUACGCUCAUAGAAUUUGAUGAAUUUGGUUUACUGUACAAUAAUAUUGAAGAGAGAGGUUUUCUACCUCAAAACUCUCUGUAAGAGGAUUUUAAACUCAAAACCAUCUGGAGGGGUUUUAAACUUUAAAGAAAAAAAAACUUUGGAGGAGGGGGUUUAAAUUCAAAACCCCCCUUUAAACCCCCCCUUGGCUUGGCUAUUCUCAUAGAAUUUUGAGUGUGUAAUUUGCUUUUUUUUUUAUUGAAGAAGUAUUUUUAGCACUAAACCCCGCUGAAAGGGUUUAAACUCAAAAUCCCCUUUGUCUACGCUGAUAGCAUUUUGAGUGUGUAAUUUUCUUUAUAUAUAUUAAUAUUAUUAUAUAUAUAUUUAAGAAGUACUUUUUAACUUUAAACGCCGCUAAAGGGGGUUUAAACUCAAAAGGCCCUUUUGGCUAUGCUUAUGGAAUUUUUAGUGUAAUUUUUGCUUUUUUUUUUUUUUUUUUUUUUUUUUUUUAGUGACGAGGUAUUUUUUAGUUUUAAACCCUGCUGGAGGGGCGUUUUAAGUCAAAACUCCCUUUGACUACGCUCAUAUAAUUUUGAGUGUGUAAUUUGUUUUUCUUUUUAUAUUGAAGAGGUAUUUUUUAGCUUCAAAACCCAGCUGCAGGGGGUUUUAAACUCAAAACCCCUUUGGCUAAGCUCUAAGAAUUUUCAGUGUGUAAUUUGCUUUUUUAGCGGCCCCCGAAAGGGGAAAAGACGCUAUUAGUUUUGUCGGUCCGUCAGUCCCGUUUAGAUCUCAGAAACUAGAAGAGAAAAUGAAAAUCGGACAUCAUGAUAUUUUAGAUCAUUGACUGUUCUGAUGUAGCCCCUAUAAACAUGCCCUUUAUGGCCCAAUAUCAGUUCUGAUUAAGGUUGUCCCCAUUGCCCUAAUGGCAUCCCUAAAUAGCCCCAUCUGGGCCCUAAUGGGAGCGGGUACCGUUUGCACAUUGGCGUCAUUAGGGGCCAAUAGGGGCAACCGUAAUUGUGCCAAUAUCGGCCCAGAAUGGGUAAAAUUACUUUCGGAUUCAUUGGGGAUUUCCAGAAUCGCACCAUAAUCAAGCCCAUACCAGCCCCAAUGGUUUAGUAACUGACAUUUUUAUUGGGGCUCAAUUAGGGACAACCAUUGUACCAUUAUCGGUCCGAUGCUGGCUCUAAUGGUUUAGUAACUGAAAUAUUUAUUAGGGCUCAAUUAAGGAUAACCCUUAUUGUGCCAAUAUCAUUCCAAUGCUGGCCCCAAUGGUUUAGUAACUGAAAUAUUUAUUAGGGCUCAAUUGGGGAUUAUAUAUAUAUAGUUCGUCCAUCGUGGUUCGAUGAUGACCACUUUGUCAUCCAGGGGGCUGAGGGCUUUGCACUAGGGUUUUAUGCCUCCUCGUGUGGCUGGUGAGACCUAUGUGAGCCCGGAAUGUUCGGCCGCACACUGGGCAGGUUAUUCCAGCUGGAGCUAGUGUCGUUUGCUUUUCUUUUCUGGCGUUUUUCUUCUGCCUGCGUUGUUCUUUUUUCCUCAGCAUCCUGUGCGCCAGUUUUCACAGCUCGACGCCAUGAUGCUCUGUCAUGUGCCUCUGUCUCCAAGGUGCCUGGGUCUAUGCUGAACGCCUUCAGAGAAGCUUUGAGGGUGUCCCUGAAGCGCUUUCUUUGACCACCUUGCGAGCGCUUUCCUUGGCCAUACAAGAGUCGUUUAGGGAUGCGGUGGUCUUCCAUUCUGUAAACGUGACCUGCCCAUCGCAGAUGGGACUGCAUCAGGAUUGUGUGGAUACUUUGCAGACACGCUCUUCGAAGGACUUCAGUGUUUGGUAUUUUGUCUUGCCAUUUGACAUUUAGUAUUUUUCUCAGACAUGUCACGUGGAAGUGGUUCAGUUUCUUUGCAUGUUUACUGUUCACUGUCCAUGUUUCUGAGGCAUAGAGCAAUGUAGGGAGGAUGACGGCUCUAUAGACCCCUAGCUUUGUGUUUGAGGUGAUACCACGUCUGUUCCAGACAUCUUUAGACAGUCUGCUAUAGGAUGCACUGGCCUUGGCGAUACGCAGGUCGAUUUCACUAUCGAUUUUUCCGUUUCUGGAGAGUGUGCUGCCAAGACAUGCGAAUUUGUCCACUGCGUUUAUAUCCUGUCCAUUUAUAGCGAUGCUUGGAUCCGAGUAGGCUUUCCCAGGAGCAGGCAGAUAUAAGACUUCAGUCUUGUUUGUAUUAAUGGUAAGGCCAAAGUCUGAGCAUGCUCUUGAGAAGUCACUGACUAUGCUCUGCAGAUCAUUUUCAGAGCAGGCAUUUAGGGCACAGUCGUCAGCAAAUAGCAAGUCUCUGAUUACUGCUGCAUUUGUUUUUGAUUUUGCUUUAAGCCGCAUCGGGUUGAAUAGGCCACCAUCAAAUCUGCAUGAUAUAUUUAUCCCGUUGUUUUCUCUAUUUGUGAAUGCAUCUGUUAGCAUAGCGGAGAACAUGAUACUGAACAGUGUAGGUGCUAGGACACAGCCUUGUUUUACCCCUUUGAUACUUCGAAGGGCUCUGAUGGUUCUCCACUUUCUUGGACACGAGCCUUCAUGCCAUCAUGAAAUAGUCUCACCAUGGUUAUGAAUUUUCGUGGACAGCCAUACUUUGACAUAAUCUUCCAGAGUCCUUCUCUGCUAACAGUGUCAAAUGCCUUUGUUAGGUCGACAUAUAUUGAGAAAGGUCAGCAUUUUGUUCUUGGCAUUUUUCCUGUAGCUGCCUUGCUGCAAAGAUCAUGUCAAUGGUUCCACGUUCUUUUCUGAAGCCGCACUGGCUUUCUGGUAGUAGACCACGUUCUAUGUGUUGCAUGAACCGAUUUAGUAGGAUGCGUGCAAGGAUUUUCCCAGCAAUAGAGAGAAGAGAUAUUCCUUUGUGGUUGUCGCAGAUCUGGCGGUAUAAAUGAACAAUUGUGGCAUCUUUAAAGUCUUUGUGGUAUUGACUCUUUUUCCCACAUAAUUAAGAAGAACUUAUGAAGUCUUUCAAUCAGGGCUAAUCCACCUUUUUUGUAGACCUGUGCGGGAAAGGAGUCAGCUCCUGGGGCUUUUCCGCUUGCGAGCUGUUGAAUGGCAAAAUCGGUUUCCUUUAGCGUAGGGGGGUCAUCCAUUUUUUCAUUUAUUGGUACUUGCUGUAGCCUGUCUAUGGCCGCUUCAUUUAUGAUGGAAGAUGUAUUGAGAACCUUUUGGAAGUGCUCUGCCCAGCGUUUUAGGAUUUCUUCCUUAUCUGUCAAUAGGAUUGUCCCAUCAGCAUUUAAUAGAGGGGAUGAGCCUGACUUUGUGGGUCCAUAUAUUUCGUUAAUGGCAUGGUAGAAGUUCUUCAUGUCGUGCUUGUCAGCAAAUUCCUGUAUUGUUUCCACUUUCUUUCUAAGCCAGGUAUCUUGCAUUUGGCGUAACUAUUUUUGCGGAUGUUAGUGAAUGCAUCUUUAGUGGACUGGGAGUUUGGGUUUGUUCAGAUACAAUUUAUGGAGCUUGUGCUUUUCGUCUAAUAGUUUCCUGAUUUCAGUACUGUUUUCAUCAAACCAGUUCUGAUGCUUUCUCUCCAUAGGACCGAGUAUGUUUAAUGCUGUGCUAUAGAUAGCUUCUUUGAAGCAUUCCCAGCUUUUAUCUACAUAUUCAGUUAGAAGGGUGGACUUGAGGCAGUUCUUUAUCGCAUCUGCAAGCGACUUUUCAGUUUUGUCAUCUGCUAGGCUGGCCGUGUUUAGCCUUUUUAGGGGUUUAGAUUUUUGCGGACGUCUCCUUGGUUGAAUACGAAUGUUUAGUUUUGUGAUGAUGAGGCGGUGGUCUGUUCCACAUUCUGCACCACAGCAAGAUUUGGUGACACGAAUGUCCUGACGGUCAGAUUGUCUGGUGAUGGCGUAAUCUAUGAGGUGCCAGUGUCUUGAGCGGGGAUGCAUCCAGGAAGUUCGCUUUCUCAUUGGAAGACUGAAUAUUGUGUUUGAUAUGAGCAGCUUGUGUUCAGCACAGGUCUGGAGUAGUAAUAAUCCGUUGCUUUUGCAUUGACCUAUCCCGAAUCGGCCUAAGACUCCUUUCCAGAUGGAAUGGUCAGAGCCGACUCUUGCGUUGAAGUCACCGAGAAUGAGUAGCUUUCUGUUUUUGGAAUUUUGUGGAGUUUAGUUUUUCAUAGAACUUUGCUAUGACAUCAUCUGGGUUGGUCAGGGUGGGUGCGUAACAGCUAACAAUGGAAAUAUGUUUCUUUCCGUUUUGUAAAGGCAGCUUUAGGGUCAUGAGCCUAUCACUAAUUCCUUUGGGAGACCCGACUAGUUUAGAUACUAUUGAUGUUUUUAUGGCAAAGCUGACUCCAGAUAAACGUCGUACUUCAGUGCUUCUACCGCUCCAGAUCCUCUUUCGCAGAGUUCACCUUCAUCUGCAAGCCGAGUCACGCUUAGUGCUCUUAUGUCUAUGUUGUAUCUGUGGAGCUCCCUGGCUACUAGUGCAGUUCGAUUACCCUUAUUGUGUCAAUAUCAUUCCGAUGCUGGCCCCAAUAGUUUAGUAAUGUGAAUUUUAUUGUUUUUUAUUAGGGAUGACCAUCAUAAUGCCAUUAUCACGUCGAUAUUGGUUUAAUUAAUUAGGGAUGACCUUUAUUAUUCUUCAAUUCAUCAUGACUGAUUUUUUUUGUUUAUUAUGCCCUUUUUGUUCAGAUGCAGCUCAAUGGCUUAGUAGAAAUGAAGCCACAUUGGUGCAAUCAGUGUGUGAUCUAUAUACAUGUAGCUAUAAUGUCAACAUAUUUAAACAAUAAUGGACAUACAGUUUUGGAAAUGUACUAGACAAGACUUGCAUGCUCUGUUCAUUCAUUCUAAAAUUAAACUUACACAAAGCUAACUUCAAGAGUGGUGACAAUAAUUUCAACAUCAGUAAAGCGAUCAUAUUUUGACUUCCAUGCAGCAGCUGAAAGAAACAAAAAUUAAUUAAUUGUCAUGUAACAAAACUACCUUCAUCGAGCAUGAGAAGACCUACAUUCAUGUAUGUGGACAUACUAUUUUACAGUGAUAUAUCCAGCCCUUGGGCUAGAAUAGGAAAUCAUGCUAAAAAAUUAGGUUGCUUCUAAACCCUGUUAAGCAAUUUAAAAAUGUAACAGUAUUUCAAAAUUUGGAGCCCAAUCUUCUUCUUAAAAUACAUGUUAUGAAUUGGUGUCAGCAAAUAUGGUUAUGGUAUUUGACUACGACUAAAAGUGCAAUGGCAGACUAGAUC